Molecule: long non-coding RNA, 999 nt
Filed under: Citrus x clementina
Lineage: Eukaryota; Viridiplantae; Streptophyta; Magnoliopsida; Sapindales; Rutaceae
Description: Citrus clementina (C. clementina) long non-coding RNA (CCLE_LNC004614)
Source: RNAcentral
AUUACUAGUUUUGGAAAUUUUCCUAAUCGUAGUACUAAUACUUUUGGCUUUUCAAUAUUGACUUUUAAGCGUUAUUCUAAGUUGAUUAAUAAGUUUACUAUGAAAUUUUAUUGACUAUUACUAGAAUCCUCAUCCAAAGAUUAAUGAUUCAUAAUUUCUAAUACUGCUCCCGAUGAUGAUGGCAUGUCAUUGAUUUCUAUUAGUUCCUCCCAAUAUUCUUCACGUUUCUCAGGAUUAUCGAUUUUACAUCUUAAACUCGCAGAAUGGGCAUCAUUGUUUCUUUGCAUUUUGUAUAAUAAAUUUUCUUUUUCUUUUUUCUCAGUGAAAUCGAUUUUCUGGUUAGGCCACAAUUGUUGCAACAUCAUUCCAACAAAUGAUACUGUCUAGUAGUAAUUACAUACAAGUGCCAUCACUUCGUAUUACGCUUCAUUUCAACUAAGAACAGCUACACGUUGACAACCAGAUGCCAUGUAGCUAUCAGAUUCAACUUCUUUUUCCUAAUGUCACAGAAAAUUUUAGUGGACAUGUCGUAGUGUUGGAAAACGACCCAUUAGACUUCACAUCACUGAAUGAUACAUAUUAUUGUACUGAAUGCAGGUGUCAUCACUUCACACAUGCUUUAUUUCAACGGACAGCAGCUACAAGUUUACAACCAUAGGCCAUGUGUUAUUUAUUUAUCAUAUAAAAGAUUGUAAACUCCGACACAAAGUUGAGGGAACAUAUCAUAAUAUCAAUAAAUGACGUAAUUACAAAGGUCAUCACUUCUUGCGUGCUUCACUUCAACGUUAGAAAUAUAUUUGUCAGAUAACUUAGGGUUAAUUUAGAAUUGCGGAGACUGAUAAAAUAAGUUAUUUAUGUUGUAUAGAUAAAAUAAAUUGUUGUUUAAAAAAGUAAUUUAGCUUUUGGUAAACUGUGCAGUUGCAGUUAUUGUGAGUUUGAAAAGUAAAGUGUAUGUGUUUGGUAAAUUUUAUUACGAAAAUGUUGUUUUAUUAUAUAAUG